CUCAGAAUCCUGGGAAGUUUGGCGUCUUCGAAGGCAGCGGAGCCGGGGCGCCUCAGAGGGUUCCCGAGGGCCGUGGAGCCUGCGGAGGCUACCUCCGCCGGCUGACGCCUCAGCCUUCGCCCCGCGCGCCGGUCUCGGGCUUCACGGAAAUGAAAACAAGCCAAGAGUAAAACAAAACCAGUACAAAUCCCCAAGUCAAAGCAGCUACAAUCAAAUUCAAGGAAAGCAAAGAUUGCCGGAGACUGUCCAUGAAAUCGUCUUCAUCCUUUGCGCUACCCUCUGACCUGCUCUAGUGUAAGACCAUUCUUGGUGGGCGGGAGCAGAGGGGACAGUUAAAACCCUAAAUACCGUACGGCAGUCCUUUCCCAGUUAUUUGGGGUCAUGUAAGACACUUCCAGGAAAUGCAAUUCCCCGGCUUUAUUUUAGGUUUUUGGCGGGGGUGGUGUGUGUGGAGGAGAAUGCCAGGACGGUACAGGAGUAUUUCUUAAUCCAGAGGACAAGCCUCAGGGACACGUCGGAAACACAGACUCCCGGGCCCCACCCCAGACCUGCUGGUUGAGAAUCUGCAUUUUCACGAGAUUCCCAGCUGUUUCCAAACUGUGCCUCUGAACUUUGAGAAGCAGUGACCUGUGCAACCCCUUUCUGGCCUUCCUCAGGUGGUAUUGAUUGUCAGGAUUUGUAUGUAACGUUCACACCUCCUUGAUGUUGAAACUAGCAAUAAAAAUCCCACCUCCAAGGGAGUAAACACCUUUUGCUAAGGCCACAGCCCACAUUCUUCUGGGAAAACUCCAAGUGUGUUGCCUUCUCGAUGCCCUGGAGAGUUGCGGAGUGCUCCAAAUGGAAAUCGAAGGAGGUGGCCAACCUUUUAUUUUGCCAUCCCCUCAAAGUCCAUUCCAGGGUCAGAGCUGUCAUGGUAAAUCAUUCACCCAGGGGGGCAAGAGAGAUUCAGGACAGCGCUCUUUAAAUUCUGUUGGAAAAAAAUCCACCGUACCCCGCCUUCGCCUCUGCACCACCACAGCUGCCCUAUUUUCGGCCUCCACUGGUUCCUUUAACCUUGGUGCAUCCACCAGGGGGCCCCAGGAGGCACAGGCAGGGCCCAGGGAUUGUGACGACCCUAAUCAGGCCAACUGGGAUCAAGGACUUUGAGUGCAAUGCUGCUGAUAGAGGGAGAAGAAGAAACGACAAAAGCCCAAACAGUCGUGUCUGUCUGCGUCACCAGACACAACCACGUGUGUGCAUCAGGAUGUGUGUCAGCCCAGCCUGGGCAAAGCCCCCAUGGGGCUGCUUCCAUUAGGUCUCUGCCUGACAUCCCCAACCAGGAAGGUGUUCCCAGGUGGCCAUCUGAGCAGCAUCCCCGCUCCCCCAGGACUACCUGCACCCAAGUGAAGUGUCAUUCUUCUCUCUCCUCACAGACGUGAAAGGUGUCAUGAAGCCUUUGUGCCCGGGCACUGCAGUUCCCUCUGGGUUCUGGCAUCGGGUUCUCCUCUAUCUGUUCAGCAGCAUCAGACAAUCUCGCUGGCACCCGGCCCUGGCCUUGGCUAUAACGCUCUCAUCUGGCGUCUCUCCUCUCCCAGGGUUGGCUUCCUAAGCUCUGGUGUCAGAUCUGCAAAUCCUUCCGUGGGAGCACUUGGGACACUUAGGAUGAAGGAUGGUUAGGAGUGGCUUCUUCCUGAGCUUACAAAUAUCACCUAAUCCAUCCUGGCAACACCUGGUUUAUAAAGCAAGCAACUACAGUGGUCAUCUUCUUUCCAGAGGUUAUGGUACAUAAAGGGUCGAAAGCUCAGGCCCUGUUGCUGCAGAGGCCUGCACUCAAAUCCUGGCUUCCCAUCACUAGCUGGGUGAUUCAGCUCUAAAAUGGGGAUCCCAAGACCUCACACGAGGAUAAAUGAGAUGCUGGAUGGAAAGCACUUAGCACAGUGCCCGGCAAUUAGUGAGUGCUCAGUGAAAGUCAAAAAGUACUGUAUCUGCUAUUGAAAAAUCACAUCUCAGAAGCAGCACCACUUGCUGACAGCAUCUGCCAAGAUUUCCGAUGAGGCUGAUGGAAACUCGUUCCAUUUUCAUGCUGUAUAAUGAGCAGACAGAGUCCUCGCACAUCUGUUCAGGCGAGAUAAUGAUGAUAUUAUUACUAGAAGCAUUGUGCUGCAAAGAGAAUCUAUUUUUUUCCUCUCUCCUACCCCCUGCCUAUAUCUACCCUCACUUUCUUUCCACUCUUCUCUCUUUACUGUCCUGUGUCUCUCCGCUUCUCGUGUUUAUUUUCUUGCUCUCUCUUCCUCUUCUUUCUUUCUUUCCUCACCUCAGUGCCCCACCCAGCUUGUGGAAACCCAGGGGACAAAGUGAGGAAUUCUUCUCCUAUGGAGGAGGGGCCGCUGAGAAGGCGCUGGGGCCAGGGGCUGGCUGCCGAGAUCAGGGGAGAGGGGUCUUGGGUCCCUCCUCCGAACCCUGGGGCCGCCUGCAUUGGAGGGCCCUCUCCCAAUCCCCAGCAAGAGCCCUUCUGCCCCGUCAGAGAAACCUCUGGGCUUGCCCUGUGCCCAACCUCAUCCGCAAAGAAUCAAGCGAGACAGCAGUGUGACCAGCUCACUUCUGCCAGAGAGACAACAGAUGGAAAGGGCUUAAUGUAUUUAGCAUCCAGGAAUAUUUUGCAUCAUAACUGGACACUUUCUGGAUACGUGACUGAUUUACAAAGGGAUGAAAUUUUCACGUUGGAAUAUAGUAACAAAAAAUCAGAAUGUGGGGGUGAGUAUCAGGGUCAGGGGGAGCCUUCCUUGUGUUUCUCAAAUCAUUCAUUCAUUCAUUUUUAUCAACAGUCUAUCAGCACCUAUUCUGCAGUAGGGAAUGAGCUGGUUGCUAAGGCACACAGAUGGAAAGCUAUGGUUCCCAUCUCCCAGGGCCUUAAAUCUACCCCACGGCUAAAUUCUACCCAACCCAGAUAUAUCUUUGUUCUUGAACAUGCCUCCUGUGUGGAAGCAGGAUCCCCUUGGGGCCCCUUCACUAUGCAAUUACCUUGGGCACCAGUAUAAAGAUGGAGUGGUAUGAAUUCCCUCACGUUGAUCCAUUAAUCCAUCCGUCCAUUUGCUCAUCUACCUACCCAUCCAACCAUACACUCUUCCACCCAUGCAUCCAUCCAUCCACCCACCCUUCCACCCAUGCAUCCAUCCAUCCACCCACCCUUCCACCCAUCCCUCCAUCCAUCCACCCACCCUUCCACCCAUCCAUCCAUCCAUCCACCCACACUUCCACUCAUCCAUCAUCCUUCCAAGCAUGCAGUAGGAGGUCAAUUAACAGCUCAGUGAGGAGCGGCGCACCCCUAAACCAUUAUUGUGGUUGGGAGCUAGGCAAAGACACACCCAGUAGUUGCAUGUAGUGUUCAUGAUUGACAACUCACAAGUGAAUGGUUCCUGAAUCCUGGGCUGUGAUGUGAGAAAGAGAGAUGGGAUGAAUUUCAAGGACUGAUUACAAAGGUUCACAAGGAGCUGCUUAAAUUUAAUCAAAACAGUGUCUGCCUUUCUCCCCAGACUGGGCGAGAGCUGCUCGGGGAAGGCAGAGGCUCGUGUAAACUGUCCUUCCACAGAGUUCUUGCUAUGGAGCUUUUCCUCGCAGUGAUGCGCACUGCAUCACAGAGGUGCCAUUCCGAUAGUUCUUGCUUUCUUCUUAAACAAACUAAGGCUAAGUUCCCCAGAGAGUUUCCAUUGAAAGAUGCCCCCCAAAUUGGAGAACUCGGUGGAAAUCAAGAUCUGAAAUCAUUCCUUUGCUCCCCAAAUGUUGUAUUCCAGUAUUUUCCUGGUUGCAGGAAUUCUGACUGAAAUGUACUCAUUUCUUUUCUUUUCUUUUUUUUUGGCCGAGCCGUGCAGCACGUGGGACCUUAGUUCCCCAACCAGGGAUCAAAACCACACCCCCUGCAUUGGAAGCACGGAGUCUUAACCACUGCAUCGCCAGGGAAGUCCCCAGAAAUGUACUCAUUUCUAAUGUUAACUUGAGUUGUGUCUUUUUUUAAAAAUGCCCCCCACUUCCCUUCUGAAUGUCAGGUGGCACACUCAUUAGUCGUCUGGAAUAAGUCUGUCUCCAGCUGAAUGUGACUUGGAAAGAGGAAAUAGGGGGCAGUGGUUAGAGCCCUGAGAGGUCAGGAGUCCUGGUUCCCAUGUCUUACUCUGCCACUGAGUCACUUGCUGCCACUGGACAAGCGACUUGGUUUUUCUGAGUUACCGCCUAACUGCCGAAGAUCGUGCAAUGCCUUCAUGCGUGCCCCCAGGGCUGACUGCUUCCACUGCCCUGACCUUAGUAUACCACUGAUUCCACUAAACUGCUGUGGUAUCAGAGGCAAGAAUGUUGUGCCUGAUAUGACAUGCUGGACCGACAUGCUGGAGCACCAACACUACACUUUGUCAAGCUGCAGCUCCAUCAGCGAGACACUUCAACAGUGACUGGAGAACUUGCUGCUACCUGAGAGGUGUGCACAGGUGCUAUGUGACCCCUCCAGCCUAAGUGCCCUGAAGACAGCUUUGUGAAGGAAGAGGUACACACCCUUUAUCUUCAAGGAUAGUUACCUUAUAGGCAAAGGGACAUAGCACAAGGGCCUUGUGAGAGGAACAAAGACACAGAGAUUGGAAACUGCAGGGUCUGUUCUGGAAAGAGGGGCUACUCCAAUUUAGUUAAGCAUUGGUGUUUCAGAAUUAUCAGCUGCCAUGAUGGGACAGGUGGGGAGAGACAGAUGGUGCUUACUUGAUCAGUGCCAUGCUCUAGGAAGCCUGAAAGGCUCCAGUUUGGGUGGGCAGAGGGGACCCUGUGCUGAUCUCUAGCCUGAGUCCUGUUUCAGCUACCUGCUAAUUAUGUGGCCCUUUGUCUUUCAUGAGUCUCAGAACAGCUAUAAGAAGGGGUUGGUAAUCACUGUCUUUCCUCCCUCACAGGGUAACUGUAAAGCACAAUAUAAACAUGAAAGGUUAUUAUCUCCUCCACGUCCAGACCUAACUAUAGAUUCACCCAUCUUAGGUUGUUGCCCCAGCCUCAGAGGAGUGACCCUCAUGCCUCCUCCUUGGUUUCAUCCAUGAUCUCCCAUAUUUCUAGUAUUUUAAGUAUUUCCCUCUCCCUCUCCUGAGUGUUUUUUCUCUGUCUCCAAAUAUGCUCUGAUCUUAAAAAAUAAAGAUCCUUCCUUGGAUCUUCUGUAUCUCCUAAGGCACUAUCCAUUUCCCUUGUUCUCACCAAACUUCUUAAAAGAAUAGACUAUUUUCUCACCUUUUCUCAUCUUCUACCCACUGUUAACUAUGCCUCCUCCAAUGUCCAAUUAAGAGUGGGCCCUCAGAACUCUCCUACAGUGUUGGUGGGAAUGUAAAUUGAUACAACCACUGUGGAGAACAGUAUGGAGGUUCCUUAAAAAACUAGAAAUAGAGUUACCAUAUGAUCCA
Delphinapterus leucas (beluga whale) is the source of this 5396-nucleotide non-coding RNA. The record is from RefSeq and is a predicted model, not a curated record. NCBI's taxonomy places the organism in Eukaryota, Metazoa, Chordata, Mammalia, Artiodactyla, Monodontidae.